ACGGAAGGCAGCAGUGGGGAAUAUUGGGCAAUGGGGGAAACCCUGACCCAGCAACGCCGCGUGAAGGAAGAAGGCCUUCGGGUUGUAAACUUCUUUUACCAGGGACAAUAAUGACGGUACCUGGAGAAAAAGCAACGGCUAACUACGUGCCAGCAGCCGCGGUACUACGUAGGUUGCAAGCGUUGUCCGGAUUUACUGGGUGUAAAGGGCGUGUAGGCGGAGCUGCAAGUCAGAUGUGAAAUCCCGGGGCUCAACCCCGGAACUGCAUUUGAAACUGUAGCCCGUGAGUAUCGGAGAGGCAAGCGGAAUUCCUAGUGUAGCGGUGAAAUGCGUAGAUAUUAGGAGGAACACCAGUGGCGAAGGCGGCUUGCUGGACGACAACUGACGCUGAGGCGCGAAAGCGUGGGGAGCAAACAGGAUUAGAUACCCUGGUA
This 434-nucleotide ribosomal RNA is filed under the name uncultured Oscillibacter sp. RNAcentral's name for it is "bacterial SSU rRNA". It matches the Rfam family "Bacterial small subunit ribosomal RNA", at positions 341 to 792 of the family's 1533-position model. Lineage: Bacteria; Bacillati; Bacillota; Clostridia; Eubacteriales; Oscillospiraceae. The record is from RNAcentral.